Molecule: ribosomal RNA, 253 nt
Filed under: uncultured bacterium
Lineage: Bacteria
Description: partial 16S ribosomal RNA
Rfam family: Bacterial small subunit ribosomal RNA
Source: RNAcentral
UACGUAGGCAGCAAGCGUUGUUCGGAGUUACUGGGCGUAAAGGGUGUGUAGGCGGUUGUUUAAGUUUGGUGUGAAAUCUCCCGGCUCAACUGGGAGGGUGCGCCGAAUACUGAAUGACUAGAGUGCGGGAGAGGUGAGUGGAAUUCCUGGUGUAGCGGGUGAAAUGCGUAGAUAUCAGGAGGAACACCGGUGGUGUAGACGGCUCACUGGACCGUAACUGACGCUGAAACACGAAGCGUGGGUAGCAAACAGG